This 74-nucleotide transfer RNA is filed under the name Streptomycetaceae bacterium MP113-05. It matches the Rfam family "tRNA". From Rfam's summary of the family: Transfer RNA (tRNA) molecules are approximately 80 nucleotides in length. The record is from Rfam by way of RNAcentral. Lineage: Bacteria; Bacillati; Actinomycetota; Actinomycetes; Kitasatosporales; Streptomycetaceae.
GCCGCCUUAGCUCAGCUGGUAAGAGCAUCUGUCUUGUAAACAGAAGGUCGUCGGUUCGAAUCCGACAGGCGGCU